UUUCCGUAGGUGAACCUGCGGAAGGAUCAUUAUUGUAUAACCGAGGUGCGAGGGCUGUCGCUGACUCGAAAGGUCGUGCACGCCCGAGUGCCCUCACACACAUCCAUAUCACCCCUAUGUGCACCACCGCGUGGGUCCCCCUUUGGCUUGUUCGGAGGGGGGCUUACGUUUUCACACAAACUUUGUAUGCAGUGUAGAAUGUAUUUUUUGUUUUUGCGAUCACGCAAUCAAUACAACUUUCAACAACGGAUCUCUUGGCUCUC
RNAcentral lists this unclassified non-coding RNA (263 nucleotides) under plant metagenome. RNAcentral's name for it is "partial contains small subunit ribosomal RNA, internal transcribed spacer 1, and 5.8S ribosomal RNA". The record is from RNAcentral.